This 119-nucleotide ribosomal RNA is filed under the name Lepisosteus oculatus (spotted gar). The record is from RNAcentral. Lineage: Eukaryota; Metazoa; Chordata; Actinopteri; Semionotiformes; Lepisosteidae.
GCCAGCAGCCAUAUCACCCUGCAACUCACAAAUGGCAACCCACUAAAGCUAAGCACGUGUGAGGCUAGUCAGUACCUGGAUGGGAGACGUCCUGGGGAAAACUAAGGUUGCUGCUGGAA